GCACAAGCGGUGGAUGAUGUGGAUUAAUUCGAUGCAACGCGAAGAACCUUACUACCCUUGACAUGUCCGGAACUUGCCAGAGAUGGCUUGGUGCCCGAAAGGGAAUCGGAACACAGGUGCUGCAUGGCUGUCGUCAGCUCGUGUCGUGAGAUGUUGGGUUAAGUCCCGCAACGAGCGCAACCCUUAUCAUUAGUUGCUACGCAAGGGCACUCUAAUGAGACUGCCGGUGACAAACCGGAGGAAGGUGGGGAUGACGUCAAGUCCUCAUGGCCCUUAUGACCUGGGCUACACACGUGCUACAAUGGGCGGUACAAAGGGCUGCGAACCCGCGAGGGGGAGCGAAUCCCAAAAAGCCGCUCUCAGUUCGGAUUGCAGGCUGCAACUCGCCUGCAUGAAGCCGGAAUCGCUAGUAAUCGCGAAUCAGCACGCCGCGGUGAAUACGUUCCCGGGCCUU
This 454-nucleotide ribosomal RNA is filed under the name uncultured Thiobacillus sp. RNAcentral describes it as "bacterial SSU rRNA". It matches the Rfam family "Bacterial small subunit ribosomal RNA", at positions 923 to 1382 of the family's 1533-position model. Lineage: Bacteria; Pseudomonadati; Pseudomonadota; Betaproteobacteria; Nitrosomonadales; Thiobacillaceae. The record is from RNAcentral.